This 1279-nucleotide ribosomal RNA is filed under the name metagenome. Its description in RNAcentral is "bacterial LSU rRNA". It matches the Rfam family "Bacterial large subunit ribosomal RNA", at positions 1658 to 2925 of the family's 2925-position model. The record is from RNAcentral.
CACUGGUAGGUGGGUAGAAUAUACCAAGGGGAGCGAGAGAACCCUCGUUAAGGAAUUAGGCAAAUUUCCCCCGUACGUUCGCUAUAAGGGGGGCCUCUGGUGGUGAGCUUAAUCGCAAAGCUGCUGGAGGCCGCAGAGAAAUGGCUCUUCCAACUGUUUAACAAAAACACAGGUCUCUGCUAAGUCGAAAGACGAAGUAUAGGGGCUGACGCCUGCCCAGUGCUGGAAGGUUAAGGGGAGAGGUUAGGCGCAAGCCGAAGCUUUGAGCCGAAGCCCCAGUGAACGGCGGCCGUAACAAUAACGGUCCUAAGGUAGCGAAAUUCCUUGUCGGGUAAGGUCCGACCCGCACGAAUGGCGUAAUGAGAGGAGCACUGUCUCAACGAGGGACUCGGCGAACAUUGAAGGACGUGUGAAGAUACACGUGACCCGCAGCGGGACAAAAAGACCCCGUGAAGCUUUACUACAACUUGCCAUUGAGUUAGGGCUAAACCUGUGUAGUAUAGGUGGGAGGCUUUGAAGCUGGGACGCCAGUCUCGGUGGAGCCACCGUUGAAAUACCACCCUGGUUUAUUCUUGGCUCUAACCUGUCGCCGUUAUCCGGCAUGGGAACAGUGGCUGGUGGGUAGUUUGACUGGGGCGGUCGCCUCCGAAAGCGUAACAGAGGCGCCCAAAGGUUCCCUCAGGCUGAAUGGAAACCAGCCGUUGAGUGUAAAGGCACAAGGGAGCUUGACUGCAAGACCAACAAGUCGCGCAGGGACGAAAGUCGGGCUUAGUGAUCCCACGGUUCAGAGUGGAAUGGCCGUGGCUUACCGGAUAAAAGCUACUCCGGGGAUAACAGGGUAGUCUGGUCCAAGAGUUCAUAUCGACGACCAGGUUCGCCACCUCGAUGUCGGCUCAUCACAUCCUGGGGCUGGAUAAGGUCCCAAGGGUUGGGCUGUUCGCCCAUUAAAGUGGUACGUGAGCUGGGUUCAGACCGUCGUGAGACGGGUCGGUCUCUAUCCGCUGUGGGCGUAAGGGAUUUGAGAGAAGCUGCCCCUAGUACGAGAGGACCGGGGUGGACGGACCUCUAGUGUGCCAGUUGUUCUGCCAAGAGCAUUGCUGGGUAGCUACGUCCGGCAGAGAUAACCGCUGAAAGCAUCUAAGUGGGAAACUCGUCUCAAGAUUAGAUCCCUCAUCCGUAUGGAGUAAGACCGCUAGAAGACUACUAGUUUGAUAGGCGGCAGGUGUAAGCGCAGUAAUGUGUUCAGCUUAGCCGUACUAAUGGUCGAGGGCUUACGUUU